AGGCGCGUAGCUCAGCUUGGUUAGAGCGCCACCUUGACAUGGUGGAGGUCGUUGGUUCGAGUCCAAUCGUGCCUA
This 75-nucleotide transfer RNA is filed under the name Gammaproteobacteria bacterium. Its description in RNAcentral is "tRNA-Val". It matches the Rfam family "tRNA". From Rfam's summary of the family: Transfer RNA (tRNA) molecules are approximately 80 nucleotides in length. Their secondary structure includes four short double-helical elements and three loops (D, anti-codon, and T loops). Lineage: Bacteria; Pseudomonadati; Pseudomonadota; Gammaproteobacteria. The record is from RNAcentral. RNAcentral also lists the same sequence under 1 other name.